This 819-nucleotide ribosomal RNA is filed under the name Wynnea gigantea. Its description in RNAcentral is "partial large subunit ribosomal RNA". It matches the Rfam family "Eukaryotic large subunit ribosomal RNA", at positions 111 to 926 of the family's 3401-position model. The record is from RNAcentral. Lineage: Eukaryota; Fungi; Ascomycota; Pezizomycetes; Pezizales; Sarcoscyphaceae.
AGAUUUGGACCCGCCGCCCGCCGGCGGCCGGAUUGUAAUCUGGAGAGGCAACCCCCGGUGUGCGCGUCCGGUCCAAGUCCCCUGGAACGGGGCGUCGGAGAGGGUGAGAAUCCCGUACCCGACCGGCGCAGCACGCCAGCGUGGGGUGCCUUCGACGAGUCGAGUUGUUUGGGAAUGCAGCUCAAAGCGGGUGGUAAGCUCCAUCUAAAGCUAAAUACGGGCGGGAGACCGAUAGCGCACAAGUAGAGUGAUCGAAAGAUGAAAAGUACCUUGAAAAGGGGGUUAAACAGUACGUGAAAUUGUUGAAAGGGAAGCGCUCGGGACCGUCGAGGGGAAGGGGAUGACCGGGUUUUUGUGACCCGCUAUCUCCGCCUUCUCACAUGCCAGCAUCGGUUGCGGCGGUGGGUUAAAGGGUCCGGGAAGGUGGCCCCCCCCCGCGACGGGGGGGGUGUUAUAGCCCGGGCCGCCAUGCCGCUUCGCCGCGACCGAGGACCGCACGACGUAAGGAUGCUGGUGAGAUUAGGUCCUCAGCGACCCGUCUUGAAACACGGACCAAGGAGUCUAACAUCUAUGCGAGUGUUUGGGUGGGAAAACCCUUGCGCGUAAUGAAAGUGAUUCAAGUUUGGGAGAUCGACCCCUUCCGAGGGCGUACCAUCUGCCGAUCCUGAUGUCUUCGGAUGGAAUUGAGCAGGAGCAUAGCUGUUGGGACCCGAAAGAUGGUGAACUAUGCCUGAAUAGGGUGAAGCCAGAGGAAACUCUGGUGGAGGCUCGCAGCGGUUCUGACGUGCAAAUCGAUCGUCGAAUUUGGGUAUAGGGCGA